This 504-nucleotide ribosomal RNA is filed under the name uncultured bacterium. RNAcentral's name for it is "bacterial SSU rRNA". It matches the Rfam family "Bacterial small subunit ribosomal RNA", at positions 15 to 518 of the family's 1533-position model. The record is from RNAcentral.
GAUUAUGGCUCAGGAUGAACGCUGGCGGCGUGCCUAAUACAUGCAAGUGAAACGGGUAUCUUCGGAUACCAGUCGCGGACGGGUGAGUAAUACAUAGGCAACCUGCCUUUAUGAGGGGGAUAACCGAGGGAAACUUUGGCUAAUACCGCAUGAAGACUCUAAGGCAUCUUAGAGGGAUAAAAGUUGGGAAACAACGCAUGAAGAUGGGCUUAUGGCGCAUUAGCUAGUUGGUGAGAUAGAAGCCCACCAAGGUAAUGAUGCGUAGCCGACCUGAGAGGGUGAACGGCCACAUUGGGACUGAGACACGGCCCAAACUCCUACGGGAGGCAGCAGUAGGGAAUUUUCGGCAAUGGGGGGAACCCUGACCGAGCAACGCCGCGUGAAGGAAGAAGGUUUUCGGAUUGUAAACUUCUGUUAUAAGGGAAGAACGGAUUGGAUAGGGAAUGAUCUGAUAGUGACGGUACCUUAUUAGAAAGCCACGGCUAACUACGUGCCAGCCGCCGC